This 1778-nucleotide ribosomal RNA is filed under the name human gut metagenome. Its description in RNAcentral is "bacterial LSU rRNA". It matches the Rfam family "Bacterial large subunit ribosomal RNA", at positions 1042 to 2754 of the family's 2925-position model. The record is from RNAcentral.
AAGGUCCGGAAUUUGUCUAAGUUAGUCUAACGAAGUGGGGUCUCAGUGACAGCCAGGAUGUUGGCUUGGAAGCAGCCAUUCAUUCAAAGAGUGCGUAACAGCUCACUGGUCGAGAGUCCCUGCAUGGAUAAUAAUCGGGUAUAAGACAGAUACCGAAGGCGCGGGAUAGCAUUAAAGAAAGUAUCGGUAGGGGAGCAUUCCAUAUCCGUCGAAUGGUGCGGGUAACUGAUCCUGGAGGAUAUGGAAAGCAAAUGUAGGUAUAAGUAACGAUAAGGAGGGUAAGAUUCCCUCCCGCCGCAAGACUAAGGUUUCCCGGGCAAUGUCARUCAUCCCGGGGUCAGUCGGGUCCUAAGUCUCAGCCGAACGGCGAGGGCGAUGGCAGACACGGUCAACAUUCCGUGACUACCUUUAGGAGCGAUGCGGAGACGGAGCAGUGACACUUCCGCGAGCCGACGGAAUGGCUCGUUGAAGAGUGUAGGCGUUGAUCACGGCAGGCAAAUCCGCCGUGAGAGUCGAACUUGAAAGUACAGGGUCCUCUUCGGAGGAACUUGAUAGCGAGGGUAAGCAUACUCCCGAGAAAAUCCGCUAAGCAAUCCUAAAGGUACCCGUACCGUAAACGGACACACGUAGUCGGGUAGAACAUACUAAGGCGUUGAGAGAUUCAUGGUUAAGGAACUAGGCAAAUUGACCCCGUAACUUCGGGAUAAAGGGUCCUCGUGAAAGCGAGGCGCAGAGAAUAGGUCCAGGCAACUGUUUAACAAAAACAACAGGGCUGUGCGAAAUCGAAAGAUGAGGUAUACAGYCUGACAGAGAAUAGGUCCAGGCAACUGUUUAACAAAAACACAGGGCUGUGCAAACUCGAAAGAUGASGUAUACAGCCUGACACCUGCCCGGUGCYGGAAGGUUAAGAGGAGAUGUYACYAGYAAURGGAAGCAUUGAAUUGAAGCCCCRGUAAACGGCGGCCGUAACUAUAACGGUCCUAAGGUAGCGAAAUUCCUUGUCGGGUAAGUUCCGACCUGCACGAAUGGUGUAAUGAUCCGGACGCUGUCUCAACCAUGAGCUCAGUGAAAUUGUAGUAUCGGUGAAGAUGCCGAUUACCCGCGAUGGGACGAAAAGACCCCGUGAACCUUUACUACAGCUUAGCAUUGACCUUGGUCAUCCGAUGUGUAGGAUAGGCCGGAGGCUUYGAAGCGGGAGCGCCAGCUUUCGUGGAGCCAUCCUUGAAAUACGGCCCUUUGGCUGUCUGAGGUCUAACGCGYGUWURCGCGGACACUGCUUGGUGGGUAGUUUGACUGGGGUGGUCGCCUCCAAAAGCGUAACGGAGGCUUCCAAAGGUGCCCUCGGGUCGAUUGGUAACCGACCUCAAAGAGUGCAAUGGCAUAAGGGCGCUUGACUGGGAGGCCAGWCAUGCCGAGCAGGCAGGAAACUGGGGCAUAGUGAUCCGGCGGAUGUGUAUGGAAACUCCGUCGYUCAAAGGAUAAAAGGUACUCCGGGGAUAACAGGCUGAUCCCCCCCAACGAGCUCAYAUCGACGGRGUGGUUUGGCACCUCGAUGUCGGCUCGUCACAUCCUGGGGCUGGAGAAGGUCCCAAGGGUUGGGCUGUUCGCCCAUUAAAGUGGCACGCGAGCUGGGUUCAGAACGUCGUGAGACAGUUCGGUCUCUAUCUAUCGUGGGCGCGGGAGUUUUGAGUGGUGCCGUCACUAGUACGAGAGGACCGUGAUGGACAGACCUCCGGUUUACCAGUUGUGCCGCCAGGUGCACCGCCGGGUAUCCAUGU